Acipenser ruthenus (sterlet) is the source of this 196-nucleotide long non-coding RNA. RefSeq lists it as uncharacterized. The transcript is spliced from 3 exons. The record is from RefSeq and is a predicted model, not a curated record. NCBI's taxonomy places the organism in Eukaryota, Metazoa, Chordata, Actinopteri, Acipenseriformes, Acipenseridae.
UUGUAAAGACCAGAGAGGUAUGGUAAAGCAUAGGAAGGUUUGUAAAGACCAGAGAGGUCUGGUAAAGCAUAGGGAAGGUUUGUAAAGACCAGAGAGGUAUGGUAAAGCAUAGGGAAGGUUUGUAAAGACCAGAGAGGUAUGGUAAAGCAUAGGAAGGUUUGUAAAGACCAGAGAGGUAUGGUAAAGCAUAGGAAGG